RNAcentral lists this unclassified non-coding RNA (375 nucleotides) under uncultured bacterium. RNAcentral describes it as "contains 16S-23S intergenic spacer region". The record is from RNAcentral.
UCCCGUUUGACACGGGCAGUCCCUCUAGAGUGCCCAACUAAAUGAUGGCAACUAGAGGCAAGGGUUGCGCUCGUUGCGGGACUUAACCCAACAUCUCACGACACGAGCUGACGACAGCCAUGCAGCACCUGUGUUCCCGUUCCCUUUCGGGCACAGCCGGGUUUCCCCAGCCUCCAGGACAUGUCAAGGGUAGGUAAGGUUUUUCGCGUUGCAUCGAAUUAAUCCACAUAAUCCACCGCUUGUGCGGGUCCCCGUCAAUUCCUUUGAGCUUCAACCUUGCGGCCGUACUCCCCAGGCGGGAUACUUACUCCGUUAGGUGCGGCACCGGCGGUAACCCGCCGACACUUAGUAUCCAUCGUUUAGGGCGUGAACUAC